RNAcentral lists this ribosomal RNA (904 nucleotides) under uncultured organism. RNAcentral describes it as "bacterial SSU rRNA". It matches the Rfam family "Bacterial small subunit ribosomal RNA", at positions 20 to 885 of the family's 1533-position model. The record is from RNAcentral.
UGGCUCAGAUCGAACGCUGGCGGCGUGGCUAAAACAUGCAAGUCGCACGGAAAGGCGGCUUCUGACCCUUCGGGUGACGAAGCUGUACUCGAGUGGCGAAAGGGCGAGGAAUACAUGGAUAACGUGCCUUUGGCAUGGGGACAGCUGAGGGAAACUUCAGGUAAUACCCAAUGAGACCACAGUGCUUUCGGGCACAGGGGUCAAAGAUGGGGCUCCUUCGGGACCUAUCGGCCAUAGAGCGGUCCAUGUCCUAUCAGCUUGUUGGUGAGGUAAUGGCUCACCAAGGCGACGACGGGUACCGGGACUGAGAGGUUGACCCGGCGCAUCGGGACUGAGACACUGCCCGGACUCCUACGGGAGGCUGCAGUAACGAAUAUUGGUCGAUGGGCGAAAGCCUGAACCAGCGACGCCGCGUGUGGGAGGAAGCCCUUCGGGGUGUAAACCACUGUCAGGGAUUACCAAGCAAUGGAGGCUAAUACCCUCCUGCGUUGAGGCGUCCCAGAGGAAGUCACGGCUAACUUCGUGCCAGCAGCCGCGGUAAUACGAAGGUGGCGAGCGUUGUUCGGAAUCACUGGGCUUAAAGAGCACGUAGGCGGACUGCCAAGCGUCUUGUGAAAUCCCCCGGCUCAACCGGGGAAUUGCUGGGCGAACUGGUAGUCUUGAGGCAAGUAGGGGCAGAUGGAACUCUUGGUGGAGCGGUGGAAUGCGUAGAUAUCAAGAGGAACGCCAGAGGCGGAGGCGAUCUGCUGGGCUUGACCUGACGCUGAGGUGCGAAAGCCAGGGGAGCAAACGGGAUUAGAUACCCCGGUAGUCCUGGCCAUAAACGAUGUCCACUAGAUCGGUGAACUUCUGACAGUGUGCCGGUCGAAACAAAAGCGUUAAGUGGACCGCCUGGGGAGUACGG